Molecule: ribosomal RNA, 403 nt
Filed under: Verrucomicrobiota bacterium
Lineage: Bacteria; Pseudomonadati; Verrucomicrobiota
Description: Verrucomicrobia bacterium partial 16S ribosomal RNA
Rfam family: Bacterial small subunit ribosomal RNA
Source: RNAcentral
UGGGGAAUAUUGGACAAUGGGCGCAAGCCUGAUCCAGCCAUGCCGCGUGAGUGAUGAAGGCCCUAGGGUUGUAAAGCUCUUUCACCGGUGAAGAUAAUGACGGUAACCGGAGAAGAAGCCCCGGCUAACUUCGUGCCAGCAGCCGCGGUAAUACGAAGGGGGCUAGCGUUGUCCGGAAUCACUGGGCGUAAAGGGUUCGCAGGCGGAAAUGCAAGUCAGGUGUAAAAGGCAGUAGCUUAACUACUGUAAGCAUUUGAAACUGCAUAUCUUGAGAAGAGUAGAGGUAAGUGGAAUUUUUAGUGUAGCGGUGAAAUGCGUAGAUAUUAAAAAGAAUACCGGUGGCGAAGGCGACUUACUGGGCUCAUUCUGACGCUGAGGAACGAAAGCGUGGGUAGCAAACAGG